Molecule: ribosomal RNA, 1864 nt
Filed under: Azospirillum sp. 51_20
Lineage: Bacteria; Pseudomonadati; Pseudomonadota; Alphaproteobacteria; Rhodospirillales; Azospirillaceae
Description: bacterial LSU rRNA
Rfam family: Bacterial large subunit ribosomal RNA
Source: RNAcentral
GUUAAGAAUCAAGCGAUAGGUAAGGGCAUCUGGUGAAUGCCUUGGCAAUCAGAGGCGAAGAAGGACGUGAUACACUGCGAAAAGCCGUGGGGAGCUGUGAAUAGGCAUUGAUCCGCGGAUCUCCGAAUGGGGAAACCCACAGAGUAAUCUGUAUCAAUAUCUGAAUCUAUAGGGUAUUGAAGCGAACGCAGGGAACUGAAACAUCUAAGUACCUGUAGGAAAGGAAAUCAACCGAGACUCCGAGAGUAGUGGCGAGCGAAAUCGGACCAGCCAAUUUGCGAUUAGAUAAGAACCGGAAGUGUCUGGGAAGGCACAUCAUAGAGGGUGAUAGUCCCGUACGGGUAGAAAGUUUAAUUGUAAGAGAGUAGGGCGGAGCACGAGAAAUUCUGUCUGAAGAUAGGUCGACCACGAUCUAAGGCUAAGUACUACUGAUUGACCGAUAGUGAACCAGUACCGUGAGGGAAAGGUGAAAAGCACCCCGACAAGGGGAGUGAAAGAGAACCUGAAACCGGAUGCCUACAAGCAGUCGGAGGGGCAUUAAGCCCUGACGGCGUACCUUUUGUAUAAUGGGUCAGCGAGUUAGUUUAUGUAGCAAGCAUAAGCCGAUAGGUGGAUGCGUAGCGAAAGCGAGUGUUAAUAGCGCGUUAAGUUACAUGAAUUAGACCCGAAACCGAGUGAUCUAGCCAUGAACAGGUUGAAGGUUGGGUAACACCAACUGGAGGACCGAACCCACUCCCGUUGAAAAGGUAGGGGAUGAUUUGUGGCUAGGGGUGAAAGGCCAAUCAAACUCGGAAAUAGCUGGUUCUCCGCGAAAACUAUUUAGGUAGUGCGGUAGGCGAACACCAUGAGGGGUAGAGCACUGAAAGAGCUAAGGGGGAGCGAUCCUUACUAAACUUUAUCAAACUCCGAAUACUCAUGAGUGAUACUUACCAGACAGACAGUAGGUGCUAAGGUCUAUUGUCGAGAGGGAAAGAGCCCAGACCGUCAACUAAGGUCCCUAAAUUAUGGCUAAGUGGUAAAGGAAGUGGGAUAUCCAAAACAGUCAGGAGGUUGGCUUAGAAGCAGCCAUCCUUUAAAGAAAGCGUAAUAGCUCACUGAUCUAAAUAAGACGUCCUGCGCCGAAGAUGUAACGGGGCUAAAGCCAUAUACCGAAGUUACGGGAUUGUAUUGCAAUAGAUACAAUCGGUAGCGGAGCGUUCUGUAGGCCUGCGAAGGUGAACCGUAAGGUUUGCUGGAGGUAUCAGAAGUGAGAAUGCUGACAUGAGUAGCGAAAAGAAGAGUGAGAGACUCUUCCGCUGAAAGUCCAAGGUUUCCUGCGUAAAGCUAAUCUGCGCAGGGUUAGUCGGCCCCUAAGGCGAGGCAGAGAUGCGUAGCUGAUGGGAACACGGUUAAUAUUCCGUGACCAGUUAGGAAGUGACGGAUACAGUAGUUUGUACAUGCUUAAUGGAUUGUGUGUGCAAGUGAUGUGUCCCGGGAAAUAGCCCUAACGAAGACCGUACCCGAAACCGACACAGGUGGACAGGUAGAGUAUACCAAAGCGCUUGAGAGAACUAUGUUGAAGGAACUAGGCAAAAUGCUUGUGUAACUUCGGGAUAAGCAAGCCCGGUUUUAAGGCAACUUAAGGCCGGGGGCACAUACUAGGGGGUAGCGACUGUUUAACAAAAACACAGGACUCUGCGAAAUUGAAAGAUGAAGUAUAGGGUCUGACGCCUGCCCGGUGCCGGAAGGUUAAGGAGAGAUGUGAGAGCAUUGAACUGAAGCCCCGGUAAACGGCGGCCGUAACUAUAACGGUCCUAAGGUAGCGAAAUUCCUUGUCGGGUAAGUUCCGACCUGCACGAAUGGCGUAACGACUUCCCCGCUGUCU